Long non-coding RNA from Bombus huntii, 7040 nucleotides. RefSeq lists it as uncharacterized. The transcript has 2 exons. Lineage: Eukaryota; Metazoa; Arthropoda; Insecta; Hymenoptera; Apidae. The record is from RefSeq and is a predicted model, not a curated record.
AUAAGGAACUUCCAUUUAAUUUGGAAAUGUUAACACUUUUUAAAUAUUUGCAUUAUCCAAGAUUUUACUUAUUUAAUUCAUAAAAGUUUUAAAAGCUACCAUAAUAUUAAAAUCGAAUUAUUGCUUUACUUAAAAUUGUUAAUUAUUUUAUUCUUUAUCGCUUAUAUGAAGUGCACAUAAAUUCAAAUGAUAAAUACGUAAAAUAUAAAAAUUGUUGAAAAAUAGUAGAAGCAUUAAAAGAUAUAGUGAAAACUUCACACGUCAAACAUAAAAUUAUAUAUGUAUGUAAUUGAAUUCUGUUUUAUACAUUGCGCCACGAGAUAAUAUUUAAAGCUAAUAUAGGUUGUAUCCUAACUUCCUGUCUUCUUUUCCAUAUUUUUCUUUAUAAGAUACAAUUAUAUGCGCGUAUGGAUACCAUUUUUGUCGUAUAUUCUUACAUAUCUUCUAUACAUUUUUGUAUGUAUAUAUUUAUAUUAUAUAUAUAUUUAUAUAUUUAUUUACUUAUUUAUAUAGCAAACCAUCGCAUCAAUACCGAAAUUUAUAAAAAUAUACAUGUACUUUUAAAAAUUAUGCACUUUAAAUUAAGCACACUAAUGCUAAAUUAUAUAUGUUUGUAGGUAUGUAUGUAUACGUAAAUACUCGAUUUAAAUUUGGCUUAUUUUAUAUUUACGUAUAAUAAGCCAACAUUCAAUUAAGUUUCAUACUUCUUUUAUAUCAUCCUCUGUUUCGAUCGGCAGGGAAUAUAAGAGCUGUUUCGACAGAUUAUUUUGUAUAGUGCGAACUCCUUUCACGUGGAAAUUGGAAGAUAUUGAUAAAUAUAAAAGGAUCAAUUGGGACUUUUACAUACAUAUGAAUAUAUGUAAAAAGGCACUGAACGUACAACGAGUUCGUCCGCAAUAUAACUGAUGAUAUUAGGACGUAUUAUAGGUAUUACAGGAGCAACGGUGUAAUUAACAAGAACAUUUCCAUUAUUUUGCGAUUUGACAAUGACAAGAAAAUAUCGAUAUUUUAAUUAUAACUUAAUAAAUUUAUAAUUGGCCGAUACAAAUCAACGAGCCAAAUGAAAGUAUCAUCGCAUUAUUUUUUAAUGUUGUUCCUAAAUAAUUGAAAAAUAAUUAUUAAAUUAACUCUUAAAUUUUUCAAUUAAAGUUUAUUUAUCUAAUCAAACGGUUAGCUACUAAAAAAAAUGUUUAGAUUGUAUCACUCAUAUCUUUAUAAGAAAUGUUAUAAACAAUUUGGACCCAAAUGUACAAAUUAAUUCUGUUACUAUAAAAUAUAUCGCAAAUAUAUAAAAUUUUUGCGUAUAAUUCGAGUAAUACUUAACACGAUCUUUGUUGCAAUGUAAAUUUUCCACUUGAAAGAUAAGUUUUGUUGUAUGCAUAGAAUAUGUAAAUCCCAACGCUUUAUUAAAAGUAUUGCAUGUGUAAUUGUGUAUAUUUGUUAUCUGAAAUUGCACGAAGCACAUCAGAAAAUCCUGACCAACAAUCAAUAGGUAUUAAGGUGUAUAAGAAACGAUUUCUCUUUCGAUUUCAUAUUACCAUAUUCUAACGUUUGCUCAAUGAUCAUUUUGAUCAAAUUUUAUUUAAUGUCACUUGUAAUAUGAUAUAUUGUAAUUAAUUAAUCUUUCUCAUUUGAGCACGACAAAUUACAUUUAUUGCAAUAUUUUCUGUUUAAAUUUAAACAAAUUUGAUUUCUUAUUGUAGAAUGGCUCUGUAUACGAGUUUACAUAUAAAGGCACAUAUAAUGUGCGAUAUUAAUUAUAAAAAUUUCGCAUGUAGACUUCCUCGUUAUACAAGUCGUGCCACAUAUGCAAGAAAAUUAAAUAUUUAUAAUAUACCAAUAAAAAUACAUUAGCACAAAAUAUUUGCAUAUACUUUCUAAGAAAUUUGUUAAUUUAAUUACUUUAGAUAUUGUAGUCCAGUGCCUAGUAUGAUAAAUAAAUCUUAUUUACAAAUUGUAAUUUUCUCAUCAUACAUAAUAUGUUAUCUGUGAAGUACUGACAAACGUAGAUCUUGUUCAGGAAUGUUUACCAAAUUAAUUUAUAAGUAGUAUGUAACAAAGUAUUUGUUCGUAUUUUAAUAUGGUUUUAAUAUGAUUCUUACGCAUCGCUAAUAUUCCAAACACUAAAUGUUUAAUUCAUUAUGUUAUUUCACUUGUAUUUAAUCGUAACAUCCUUUAGUGAUUUGUAAAAAUGGUCAUUAUAGUAGUUACAAAUAUUUUAAGAAAAUUUUCGUAUUAUCGUAUUAUUGUUCUUCUAUACUUUCUUCGAAAUCAUUAAGAAAGUCAUUGAAGUCGCAAAUGUACGAUAAAAAAUGCAGCAUUAUUUAAAAGCUUCAACUUGAAACGUUUUAAUGUAACAUAUUCAGCACAAUGUAUAUGAUGUAAAUUACUUUCUGUUUCUUAGAUCAUUGUUUCAAGAACAAAAUAAUUGUAUCUUCCUUCAAGAACGUGUCUGAGUUUAAUAUCUGUAAAUAAUUAUUUUUAAUAUACACAGUGAUUAAUAACUUUGGUUAUUUAACGUUAUCUCUAUAUUUUGAGAAGUAUGAGGAAACUUUAUUUAUAAAAAUUAUAUGAUAUUAAGAGAGUCAUAACAUACCAAUAUUAAUUUUUUUUGAAGUAGAAGACUUUUAGAGAUUUCGAAGUUACUUCUAUCUUUUUUCAACAGUAUACACUAUACUUUUUUAUACUUAGAAAAAUAGCGAAUUCAAGCGACUUUAAGGAUCUUUAAUACAAGUUCAUUCGAGAAUAAAUAAAGAGAUAAAAGGAAUUUUAUAUCACGUUUAUAUUGGAAAUGAUGUUCCUUUGCAUCGACGUAAUAUUAAAGUAGCCGAAUUAUUGAAGCCCUUAUACUUGUUGAAAUUUUUAAAUUGAUUAUAACACAUAUAACAGUGAUUAAUAUUUAUUUCGUAUCUUUUAACGUUAUUGGAUUUUUAGGAUACAGAGAUGGUUCAUGAUUCAAUGUGAUUCCAUGAAUUGUUCUCGAUGUGAAAGAUUCAUGAAUAUUAAUGGAAGGAAGUCUCAAACAGAUUUAACAAUGUCAGUUGUUAUUUACAUUUCUUAUUAUUCUGUACUAUUUACAUUUCUUACUACUCCUAUGGUUUUUUGUAGGUUGAAAAUACCCACAUAUAACGAUCAACCCAGACAGCUCAAGUAUGAAGAGAAGACUCAUUGCAUGAAAUGUGUGAGUUUUGCAAUUUCAUAAUUCCACUGUUGAUGCAAACAAACACUACUUCCAAUAUUUCCCAUAAUAUAAGACUCGUUUUACUCUUUUAUUUAAUGUCAAAUAUCCGUUAUUUUAUUAGAAAUAAAAAAGUAUAGUAUGCCCUUUAAAAGAAUAUAGAGGUGGAUUUUGAAAUCCUUAAAGUUCCUUCAUUUUAUUAAUUAUUAGUGAUAUAUCAUGAACCCGCUCGUACAAGUCUUGUAAAUAAAGUCUAUUUAUAUUUCACAGGAUAAUAAAGACAUUUAAGGUAGUCAAAGUUUAUCCAUUAUUCGCAUUUUGAUCAAUAUGAAAACUUAAAUUCUAGGAAAAGUACAAUUCACUUAUUCUAAUUAAACAGUUACGUUGAAAUUUUGCAAUCCCUCUGUUUUAAAGAAUCUUGUAAAAGCAACAUAAAACAAUUAAUUGCAAAAUGAAUAAAUACUACAAAAUAUAUAUAUAAUUUUUACAUAUCAGGAAUUAUAUUCUUAGACAAAAUAAAUGUUGUUAUAUUCUAUAUUCUGCUACAAACAUAUCUUAAAUAAUGAAAACGGAAACCUAAUAUAAUUGACGUUAAUUGCUAUCAAUAUAUAUAAUAUAAGAAAUAUUAAUACAAGAUAAUAAAGGAAGACAAUAAAGUUUUAUGUGAUUACGCAAUGUGAUUGUACAUCAUUAACUAUCAUCGAUGUCAUAUUUCGUAAAAAUAAUAACUUUCAAAUCCUACUUUCCAGCAAAUAUUAACAAUGACUCGAACUUAUUUCUUGCAAUUUUCUCACAUUCAGUUAUGCAUCCAGCAAAAUAUGUAUGAUAUUUUGUAAUUUUCAAAUCAUGUAACUACUAUUCACUUAAUUUUGAAGUAUGUUCAUAGUAAGAUAAUGAUUGAUAUAUCUCAAUUAUGUAAUCAAUAAGUAAUGUUAAAUAUAUAUAAUGAUAUAAUAUAAUUUGAUUUCUUAUAAUGUACAAAGCGUUUAAUUUCAGCUUUGUGUACUGUGACAAAUAAUUGUUGUCUUUUGUAAAAUAAUAUUUAAGAGAUCACGUAAUUUUAAUCAAAUCUGCAUCUUGAGUAAAGAUACUGUCAGUCUCUUGUUUCAAAGAUAGUGGCAGUUUCCUUAUGCCCUGAAUAAAAUUACAUGCAGAAGUAGUUGCCACCAUAUUUACUGGAAUACCUCAGUUUUCUCUAUCUUAUUCAUAACUCUAGGCCAUACUUCAUCUAAACUGUAUCUAUACAAUGUUUAACAAAUAAAAUACAUGUAACGUAAUGUGAGAUUUUAAAGUAAAAGUAAAACCAAUAACAGUAAUUAAUGUUUAAUUUUGAAAUUUGUCACUUUACAUAGUAAUAAACAAACGUCAUAGAUCAUAUUAUAAUACACAAGUUUUCAUAGUUAAAAAAUCAGACUUUCUAGGCCUGUAGCCUAUGAAACGGAGUACAUUAUACAUUGUAUUUCUGUUGGACUUCAAUCUAAUCACAGUUUAUUCUGAUGGAUGAGUUAACGUAAGUUUAUCAGCCACGAUUUUGUGACGAGCUUAUUAAAAAAAGAACCGAGUUCUAAUAUACUUUUUUUUCCAUACAUUCCAAUCACAAUUUUAUCCCAAUAUGCCACCCUUACCCUGGACCAUUCAAACGAUAUUAACUUGAAAUCAUUAUAUAUCUUAUUUCUUAAUUACAGUGCCAGCAUAAAAACUUUUUCUAUACCAGUCCUUCUUAUGUGAAGCUUAAAAUGUCCCACCUUGUGCAUUUGACUUUACAAAAUAAUUGUUUUACGUAACUCUAUGAUUUGUUAUUGUUGACAGAAUAAGCGAUCAUUACGAUCCAAGGUAUUGGUGCGUCUAUUUCUUACGUUAUAUUAUACAGGUAUAUAAUAUAUACCAACAGUUUAGCAUUUCUUACAUUAAAUUCCAUACAUUUAGUAAAGACAAUGUAUAGAGAGGAAUCAACUUUCAAAUUUUUUUACAUAUAAUCCGUAGCGAUAAUUAAAACGAAUAUUCAAAGCAUACACAUAAUUAGCUAUACAUAAUUUACGGGGUAACGCAUAAAGUAAGACAAAUCACUUUAACAUUGUUUAUGUUUUCUAAAACUCCAUUAUCAAGAAAUGUUAAUGCUUAUCCAAUUUUAUAUAUAUAUAUAUAUAUAUAUGUACAUAUAUAAACAUAUAUAUACAUAUACGUAUAUAUACAUAUAUUUAUUUAUUUAUUUAUUUAUAUAUAAGUGUGUAUAUCUUUUGUAUUUAUAUUAAUCUUUUUAUCAGUAAAUUCACGCUAAUAUACAUUAUAUAUAAACUAAGCAAAUUAAUUGACGAAUUACUAUACCAUUUAACUAUUAAUUAUUCCUCUUUUAUUUUUAUUCGAUAGUAAGAUAUUAAAAUACAUAUAACAUUAAACAAUAUCAAUCUUAUUUGGAAUAAAAAUACUGUGCACGCGAUGUACCGUUGAUGAAACGAUUUAUCUUUUAUAUAACUGCAGAAAAUAAACUUUAUUAUUAACUGAUGUAACUAAAAAUUGAUAUUGAUGUCCUGCUGCAUGUAUAUUGAAAUAUUACAUGGUAUAAGUUAAAAGAAAACUAAUAAAAAUGUUUUGCAAUCAAAAUCAGUUUCAUUUUUCUUUUAAAUAGCCAAAUUUAGCGUAUAUUUCCCUUACUUAUAUCAUGCUCUGUCAAAACAAAAAUAAAAAUGAAAACAGAAAAAAGUAAACGAAAAAAGAAACAAUAUGACAUAUUUACAUCAAAUAAAAGUAAAAAUAACUUCGUGAAUAUUAAUCUGCGAAUUAGUGAAUUUACUAAUGAAAAGAUAUUUAUGUGUGUAUAUUAAAUAUACUGUACUUGUUUCUUGAUGUAAUCAACUGAAUUAUAUUAAAUGUUGAAGGUAUCAUUGAGAUACAAUUAAUAUAAGUUGUGCUACAAGACUGAGACUAAAGCAAAGUGUUUACAGCACCACGAUUUAAACUGAAACAAUUAAUAUCUUGAUGCAUUUACAGUUGACAAUAAAUUUUUCUGUAUAUCCAACAUUGCGACUAAUCACUUCAGAUAUAAAAAAAUUAAAAGGCAGUAUUAUAAAUGUAAAGUAUAAUUAUACAUGUUGGUAAUUGUUUUAUAGUUCAGGAGAUUGGUUUUCCUUUAAUAUUCAUUAUUUCAAUUUCUGUACGCAUAUCAGUAACAAAUAUAUCAUAUGCGUUAUUCACUAUAAUGUAUAGGUACAUGUAAUUAUAUAACAUCUAAAGCCAAGCUCCUGUAAUAUACACAACAUUUUGAGGCACUUAAACGUGUGCUCAAAGACCAUGUUUCUGACAACUCUUAUAUUACUUGCCAAAGCAUAAUUCUAAAUUGUAUGUUAUCUCAUGUAACGGUAAUAUUAAAAAGAAAAGUCAGUGCCGUAAAUAGGUGCCUAAACAUGUCAUAACAACUUUUUUCUCAUUUGAGAUGAAUACAAAACUAAAAUCUAUUUAAUAUUAUUUCCAGAAUAUUAAUAACAGUAGAUAACUUAUUAUUAUUUCUGAUUUACUCGGAAUAAAAAUUUUAAAGCUUCUAGUAGAGACUAGAAUGUACCUGAGGCAACGUGGAAUGUUAUAUUUUCUAAAGUCAAAGAGGAAGAAAGAGAGAAAUAUACUAAUGUUCUAAUUUAAUUUUCUUGUGUUAUAUUAUUUUCUUUGCUUGUAUGUGUAUUAUGUCUUAAAAACUAUUAAUAAUUUUAUCAAUAAAUAUACCGAAUUUAUAUUUCUGUCUUAUAAUAUAAAGGUUACAGUAUCGUAAGACAAGUAAUUUUUUAGUAUUUUAUAAUAUUCUGGAUAAAUAUGAAAGAUUAAGUUUUUUUAUUAAUAAUAAUCUGUUUUUAAAAAUAUUAAUUAUUACGCA